AAACUUUCAACAACGGAUCUCUUGGCUCUAGCAUCGAUGAAAAACGCAGCGAAAUGCGAUAAAUAAUGGGAAUUGCAAAAUUCAGUGAAUCAUCCAAUCUUUGAACGCACAUUGCGCCUGGGAGUAUUCUGCCAGGGAUGCCUGUCCCAACGUCAUUU
RNAcentral lists this ribosomal RNA (158 nucleotides) under Ceratocystis variospora. Its description in RNAcentral is "5.8S ribosomal RNA". It matches the Rfam family "5.8S ribosomal RNA". Rfam says of the family: 5.8S ribosomal RNA (5.8S rRNA) is a component of the large subunit of the eukaryotic ribosome. It is transcribed by RNA polymerase I as part of the 45S precursor that also contains 18S and 28S rRNA. Lineage: Eukaryota; Fungi; Ascomycota; Sordariomycetes; Microascales; Ceratocystidaceae. The record is from RNAcentral.